This 73-nucleotide transfer RNA is filed under the name Agrilus planipennis (emerald ash borer). It matches the Rfam family "tRNA". Rfam says of the family: Transfer RNA (tRNA) molecules are approximately 80 nucleotides in length. The record is from Rfam by way of RNAcentral. Lineage: Eukaryota; Metazoa; Arthropoda; Insecta; Coleoptera; Buprestidae.
GCUCUCGUAGCUUAGUGUUCAAAGCAUCGAUGCGUAAAGCCAAAGGUCCCGGGUUCGAUUCCCGGCGAGGGUA